Molecule: ribosomal RNA, 830 nt
Filed under: Leccinum pachyderme
Lineage: Eukaryota; Fungi; Basidiomycota; Agaricomycetes; Boletales; Boletaceae
Description: eukaryotic LSU rRNA
Rfam family: 5.8S ribosomal RNA (bases 197-351)
Source: RNAcentral
CAAGUUUUCCGUAGGUGAACCUGCGGAAGAUCAUUAUUGAAUACACACAGGAUUGUUGCUGGCUAGAUUCAUUUCUAGCAUCGUGCACAUCUAUCUUCCACACACACACUUGUGAACUUACUGUAGAUCGCAAGAUCUAUGUCUUUAAUUCAUCACAUAUCCAUCGUAUGUCUACAGAAUGUUACAAAUAUAAUACAACUUUCAGCAAUGGAUCUCUUGGUUCUCGCAUCGAUGAAGAACGCAGCGAAUUGCGAUACGUAAUGUGAAUUGCAGAUUUUCAGUGAAUCAUCGAAUCUUUGAACGCACCUUGCGCCCCUUGGUAUUCCGAGGGGCAUGCCUGUUUGAGUGUCAUUUAAUUAUCAACCAUUUAGUCUUUGAUUAGACUUUUUUUUGGAUUGGAGUUGGGAAUUGCUGGUCUUAACAAAAGGAUCAGCUGUCCUUAAAUGCAGUAGCAAGUGAAAGUGAUUUUACGUGGCACGGCCUUUGACGUGAUAAUGAUCGUUGUGGGCUGGAAGCGUUUAAUAAAGCUAGUAGUUUGCUUUAAUUAUAUAACGAGUGAAUUUCUAUGUGCAUACGGCUGGAAAGCAUUAGUAAUGGAAGCUUGAGCGGAAAGUAAGCUAUGUUGUAAAAGGCAUAGUAAAUGUGGAAGCUUGAGUGAAAGUGAGAAUGUGUAGUAGGCUGGAAGGCAUAGCAUUGAAGCUAGUUAAACAAGGAAUUGAAAAAUAACCUGUGGAAUAUUUCUAUGUGCAUAGCAUAGUUAUUGAGAAACUAGUGAAAAAGUAAAUUCCGACUUGAAAGUUGACCUCAAAUCAGUAGACUACCCGCUGAUC